CCGACGGUGAGGGGUGAAAGCUGGGGGAGCAAACCGGAUUAGAUACCCGGGUAGUCCCAGCUGUAAACGAUGCAAACUCGAUGAUGCGUUGGCUUAUUGCUAGCGCAGUGUCGCAGGGAAGCCGUUAAGUUUGCCGCCUGGGAAGUACGUACGCAAGUAUGAAACUUAAAGGAAUUGGCGGGGGAGCACCACAAGGGGUGAAGCCUGCGGUUCAAUUGGAGUCAACGCCAGAAAUCUUACCCGGAGAGACAGCAGAAUGAAGGUCAAGCUGAAGACUUUACCAGACAAGCUGAGAGGUGGUGCAUGGCCGUCGCCAGCUCGUGCCGUGAGAUGUCCUGUUAAGUCAGGUAACGAGCGAGAUCCCUGCCUCUAGUUGCCACCAUUACUCUCAGGAGUAGUGGGGCGAAUUAGCGGGACCGCCGCAGUUAAUGCGGAGGAAGGAAGGGGCCACGGCAGGUCAGUAUGCCCCGAAACUCUGGGGCCACACGCGGGCUGCAAUGGUAACGACAAUUGGUUUCGAAUCCGAAAGGAUGAGGUAAUCCUCAAACGUUACCACAGUUAUGACUGAGGGCUGCAACUCGCCCUCACGAAUAUGGAAUCCCUAGUAACUGCGUGUCAUUAUCGCGCGGUGAAUACGUCCCUGCUCCUUGCACUCACCGCCCGU
RNAcentral lists this ribosomal RNA (664 nucleotides) under uncultured archaeon. Its description in RNAcentral is "bacterial SSU rRNA". It matches the Rfam family "Archaeal small subunit ribosomal RNA", at positions 691 to 1353 of the family's 1478-position model. The record is from RNAcentral.